This 4049-nucleotide long non-coding RNA is filed under the name Homo sapiens (human). RNAcentral describes it as "HSALNT0181308". Lineage: Eukaryota; Metazoa; Chordata; Mammalia; Primates; Hominidae. The record is from RNAcentral.
GGAGGGGUUGGGGGAUUCCGCCAUCCCUUGUUUUGAGGCGGGAACGCAACCCUCGACCGCCCACUGCGCUCCCACCCACACCCAGAGUAAUAAGCUGUGAUUGCAGGCUGGGUCCUCACCGUCUGCUCGCCAGUCUUCUCCUUUGAGGACUCAGAAGCCAAGGGUUGCGGGAGGCACCACCCAUCCAGCAAGUCAGGCAAGGAGAGGAGGUGUUGGAAGAGGUCCGCAUCCGUUUUCUGACUUCAGGUCUUGGAAUCUAUGUAGUCAGUUCUAUUGCUGGACUCAUCCAAAGGAAAAAGCCUGUUUGGAGUUGACCUGACAUGGAAAUGCAAAAGGAGGCCUCAGGGGUUCCAGCUCACCCUUGACUCCAAACUGAGGUGUGUGAGGCAGGGAGUGGGGAGAGGGAGAAAGAGAUAGAGUGGUGAAGGGUGUUCCGCUGCUACCCUGCCCACUGUCAUUUGGGCUGCAGAGGAACCUCGUUCUUCUCCCCUUUUCUUCCUCUCUCCUUUUCUUUCUUUUCUUUUCUUUUCUUUCUUUCUUUCUUUCUUUCUUUCUUUCUUUCUUUCUUUCUUUCUUUCUUUCUCUUUCUUUCUUUCCUUUCUUUCUUUCUUUCUUCCUUCCUUUCUUUUUCUUUCUUUCUCUUUCUUUUCUUUCUUCUGCAGCAAUUAGUUACCAACUGUCCUCAGUUUGCCAGAUUCUGUGUCAGAUUCAGAAGUCACACACAGAAAGAAAACCAGGCCCCUGAUCCCGCACCCUGGCAAUCCAGAGAGGGGACCCCCAGGGAAAUAACUGAGGCUUAAACAGGUGCUGUGAAGCACAAAAAAGCGAGACUUUACAGGAACCGGGCAUUGAAGGAGCAACACCAGUUCCCAAGGGGAGAAGGUGGCACAACACUCCAGGGAGAGGGAAGAGCAGGGGCAGAGGACUGACUCUGCAGAGCAGGGAGUCGGCCCUGCAUGGCUGGAAUCCAGCCUCUCUGGGCCACAAGGAUUAACUUCAUCUCAGCAUUUCCUCCAAUGACACACACAAUUAUAGAAAGUGAGGGCUGGAAAGGACCUUAACAUUCAUCCAAUUCCGCCUCACCUCAGAAGGGAGAACUGAGUCCCAGAGAGAUGGAGUGUCCUUGCAAAUCCCACAGAGUCCAGCACUGAACCGUCCCCCUCUCCAGAGGCACAAAACAGCACCUCUCUCAAAUGCAGCCAUCUCUGGAGGCACGGGAGCAGAGGAAGCUGUGGGCUCCCCACCUCACCCCACCAUGACUCUUCCCAGCUCCUGCCCCUGGAUCUUGCUGAUCUGGACUGGCCUCCAUUUGCCUGCAGGCUCUAUAGGUUCAGGGAUGGGUCAGACUAGCCAGAGCACCUGGAUUGGUGUCCCGCCUUGGUCACCUACCUGUUGUGUGGGCUUGCCUAAAUUGCUUGAUCUCGCGAAGUCUCAGUUUCUCCAUUUUUAAGUGGGGACUAAAAAUAACGAUCUCUGAGCUUUACUGAGAAAAAUAGAUGAGGACAUGUUAGACAAUGGUAAUAUGGGCCAUCUCUGGCUGCUCUGGGGUGGGGAGGGGAGCCCUGUUCAUCAGGAGGCAGAAGCAGGAAGAAGAUGAGCUCCAUAAGGUGCACCCACCCAAGGACACUGUAGCUCUGCGCUGCCUUUUUUACCCCAAUCUUACAUGGCUGAGUGGAUUUCAUGCUGGCUGUGAGUGAGACGGAUGGAUCUUUUAGUUUUCAAUUAGCAAACGCCUCACUCUUUAAACAAGCGGCACAGCAAACAGAUGCACUGUGUGAUUGAUGACAGGGAACAUCUGCGGCCAAGCAGCGGCUGCACCAGAGGCUCCCAGCUUCCUGGGCUAGCAGGGCCCUCUGGAGGUCGUUUGGUGCCUCCCCCUGCCUCUAGGCAGGAGUGUGCCCAGUCCAAGUGGGCGGGGUGGGGGCAGGGUGUCCCUUUGCCUUAUAGCUUUCCUGAAAAAGGAUCUACAACAGCCUCUUUGAAUUCUUUACCUCCUUGGAGUCAGGAAGUUCCACCUGAUGUACCUCCUAAAUCUUUCAUUUAUUUCUACCCUUUUCAUUGUUGAAAGUUGUAAGGAAAUAAGUAGUAGUGGGUAUUAGGGGUUGUCUUAGUCCAUCUGGGAUGCUAUUAAUAUAACAAAAUACUGUAAACUGUGUGGUUUACAAACAGAAUUUAUUUCUCACAGUUCUGGAGGCUGGGAAGUCCAAUAUUAAGGUGCUGGCAGAGUUGGCGUCUGGUGAGAGCCAGCUUUCUGUUUCAUAGAUGGUACUUUCUCACUGUGUUCACACAUGGUGGAAGGGGUGGAUGAGUGCUCUUGGGCCUCUUUUACAAGGGGACUCAUCCAUCCUAUUUAUGAGGGCUGUGUCUUCUUCUGUCCUCAUGACCUCCUCACUGCCCAAAGGCCUCACUUUCCCUUUGUUUUGUUUUGUGUUUUGUUUUGUUUUGUUUUGUUUUUACAGAGUUUUGCUCUUGUUGCCUAGGCUAGAGUGCAGUGGUGCUAUCUUGGCUCACCGCAACCUCCGCCUCCCGGGUUCAAGUGAUUCUUCUGCCUCAGCCUCCCGAGUAGCUGGGAUUACAAGUAUGCGCCACCAUACCCAGCUAAUUUUGUAUUUUCAGUAGAGAUGGGGUUUCUCCAUUUUGCUCAGGCUGGUCUCGAACUCCUGACCUCAGGUGAUCCGCCUGCCUUGGCCUCUCAAAGUGCUGGGAUUACAGGCUCACUUUCUAAUUUUAUAAUCCUGGGGCUUAGGAUUUCAACAUAUGAAUUGGGGGGAGCAAAGACAUUCAGGCAGGGCUAGGAAAUGAGUUAGGGACAGAUGGGGGUUUUGUUGGCCCAUUGUAAGAGAAACAAAGGAGAAAGCCAACAGAGAAUAAGGGAGAGCUAGAACUUCCUCCCGAGCUCCAAGAACUGCUCGCUGCAGCUUAGAAAGAGGGGGGACCCUUGCUGAUCUCCUUCAAACUCUGAUGUACCCCCAGAGAGAACAGACUGUCACAGUCCCCUUCUAAAAAUCAUCUCACAGAAAACAAGGGAAAUGCUCUCAUCUGAAAGGUGGGGAAGGCAGAGCGGGGUCAUGUCAGUAGCAACACUGGAGUCACACAGAAGUUUGUUCCCAUCUAAACUCCACAACCUUGGGAAAUUCUGAAUGGCUCCGGGGCUCAGUUUUCUGGAUUGUGAAAUGGGGAUGGAGAGCCACAUUGCAGUGCUAUCAUGAAGAAUAAGUGGGAACGACAGCCCACACAUAUUGAUAUUCCAUGGGUCUUCCCCCCUUACAGAAAACUUCAACUGGAGAAGUGACGCAGGAAAUAUAGACAUCUUCUAUAUGGUGUUACAGUUCUCCAUUUCUUAACCCACUUUGUAGAUAAAAACUGAGCCCCCAUUUCCAAGCUCUUGGAAUUUCUCUUUUCUCAUCCUCUUCUUUUGUCUUAGUUCUUGUGCCAUUUGCAAAUGACUUGGGGAGCAGUAGAACAUCAAUCUAUCUGGGUCAAAGGAAGUAUGGGGCAAAAAAAAAUCAUCUCUUUUGUACUUUAUUACAUCCCUCAAAUGCAGAAAACCUUAGAGAGGUGUGGAAUUCUUGGAUAUUGUUGUUAUUGAGGGAUCUACAGCCCCAUGUAGGAUAAUCUAGGGAAGGGACUGAAGGUAGUCGAGAUGGUAGACCCCAGAGAAGGGUGGGCAAGGGGAGAAUCUUCUGAGAAGGACAGAAGUUCAGGGCACUGUCCAACCAAGGCAGGAGAGCAGAGAGUUACCUGAGGGUUUUGACAUCUGCGUGUGUAAUCACCCUUAGAAAAUGAUUUCCUCACUGGUAGACUCUAAUGGGCCUUUCCACCUGGGUGUGAAAUGGACAUUUGUUCUUUGCUGCCUCCUAUUUUGAAAGAGUAAAGAGAAUACAGGGAUGACUCACUUUAAGAAAUUCUGUUACACAGUUCUUCAGAGUUACAGAACAGAUAACUCAGAGUGCAAUUAUUCAUAUUAGAAAUUUAAUUGCUUGAUGGGAAGAGGUCAUAAAAAUAUACACCUCAUUUCCACACCUAUGUUCAUAGCAGCACUAUGCACA